GACGAACGCUGGCGGCGUGCUUAACACAUGCAAGUCGUACGGUAAGGCCCUUUCGGGGGUACACGAGUGGCGAACGGGUGAGUAACACGUGAGUAACCUGCCCACAACUUUGGGAUAACGCUAGGAAACUGGUGCUAAUACUGGAUAUGUGCUCCUGCUGCAUGGUGGGGGUUGGAAAGCUCCGGCGGUUGUGGAUGGACUCGCGGCCUAUCAGCUUGUUGGUGGGGUAGUGGCCUACCAAGGCGGCGACGGGUAGCCGGCCUGAGAGGGUGACCGGCCACAUUGGGACUGAGAUACGGCCCAGACUCCUACGGGAGGCAGAAGUGGGGAAUAUUGCAAAAUGGGCGCAAGCCUGAUGCAGCAACGCCGCGUGCGGGAUGACGGCCUUCGGUUGUAAACCGCUUUCAGCAGGGACGAAGCUUUUUGUGACGGUACCUGCAGAAGAAGCACCGGCUAACUACGUG
RNAcentral lists this ribosomal RNA (464 nucleotides) under uncultured bacterium. Its description in RNAcentral is "partial 16S ribosomal RNA". It matches the Rfam family "Bacterial small subunit ribosomal RNA", at positions 28 to 507 of the family's 1533-position model. The record is from RNAcentral.